GAUGAACGCUGGCGGCGUGCCUAAUACAUGCAAGUCGAGCGAACAGACGAGGAGCUUGCUCCUCUGACGUUAGCGGCGGACGGGUGAGUAACACGUGGAUAACCUACCUAUAAGACUGGGAUAACUUCGGGAAACCGGAGCUAAUACCGGAUAAUAUAUUGAACCGCAUGGUUCAAUAGUGAAAGACGGUUUUGCUGUCACUUAUAGAUGGAUCCGCGCCGCAUUAGCUAGUUGGUAAGGUAACGGCUUACCAAGGCAACGAUGCGUAGCCGACCUGAGAGGGUGAUCGGCCACACUGGAACUGAGACACGGUCCAGUCUCCUACGGGAGGCAGCAGUAGGGAAUCUUCCGCAAUGGGCGAAAGCCUGACGGAGCAACGCCGCGUGAGUGAUGAAGGUCUUCGGAUCGUAAAACUCUGUUAUUAGGGAAGAACAAAUGUGUAAGUAACUAUGCACGUCUUGACGGUACCUAAUCAGAAAGCCACGGCUAACUACGUG
This 497-nucleotide ribosomal RNA is filed under the name uncultured bacterium. RNAcentral describes it as "partial 16S ribosomal RNA". It matches the Rfam family "Bacterial small subunit ribosomal RNA", at positions 28 to 507 of the family's 1533-position model. The record is from RNAcentral.